Molecule: long non-coding RNA, 1187 nt
Organism: Glycine soja
Lineage: Eukaryota; Viridiplantae; Streptophyta; Magnoliopsida; Fabales; Fabaceae
Exons: 2
Source: RefSeq, a predicted model, not a curated record
GAGUCUCUUGCAGUGCUUUUUUCUGGGUGUCCUAAUCUUGAGGACAUGGAAGCCACUGGUUUAUGUUUUAAAAGCUAUGUAGUUGAAGCAAAGUUAAAAAAAUUGCCCUAAUUAGUCAGAACUCUUGUGGAAAAAGAUAAACAUAUAAUUCCAUUGGAAGUUGUUUGUAAUGUUCAGUUCCUGAGCAUAAAAUGGGAACUAAAUACUUUAUUUGUUUGUCAUUUCUUUCUAUUGCGAAAGAAAAUGAGAAUUUAUGAUAUUUUUUUUGUUGGGAUAUGCACCUUACAUAUGGACAACCAGGAAGUGGAAAUCAUUGAAGACUUUCUCGAAUUUCACAAUUUAACCCACAUUGAAUUCAGCUAUGUGGAAUGUACUAGAGACUGACUGGAAGUGUUGAAAGUGCUCAAGCAUUGUUCCAAACUUCAAAAUCUUGUCAAUGACCCAGUAGGACAAGUUUUUCUUUCUUCUUUUUGAGAAUCGGGAGACCAACUUGAAGGUGAAGUGAUCUUUGGAGGCUACCUAGUCUGCGGAUAAUGAUGGAGCUUUUGAGUAUGAACAUCAGGUUUAUCCUCUUGAUCCUGGUCAAAUUCUCCUCCAAGAUUCAAAGCUUAGGAACACUGAUCAUGUCUAUGGAGUGGUCAUUUUCACUGGACAUGACAGCAAAGUCAUGCAGAAUUCUACCAAAUCCCCUUCAAAAAGAAGCACAAUAGAAAAAAAAGAUGGAUUAUAUCAUGUACUGUCCUUAUAUUGAUAUCUUUUAUUAGUUCGAAAGCCUGCUCUAAAGGGAUUUGGUUUUUCCCUUAGGAAUGGUAACUGGUUGAAUCAGCUAACUGACGAAAGGGCUUUUCUAGUAGCAGCAAGAGAAUUUGGUUUCGAAUUUUAUUGGAGAACUCAAUCAAGUGUUGUCAUUCGUGAAAGAUUUUCUGCUUCGUAGGUGAGGUGGACAUUCACAAACUCCAUCCAUUUCCUAUUAACUAUGAAACAUUAAGAUCCUUUGUUAGUUAGAUUUUAUAAAGCUUGUAGCUUUCUAAUUAAGUUUUGUCCUAUUUUUUGUUACAGUUGCUUUUGAAUUUUUUAUUACUUUAAGAAUGGAAUGAACGGAAGGUGUUUAUGAUCAAGUAGCACCUUGUAAGUCAUCUUAUGUGUAUAUUUUGAAAAUAAAAAUUCUUCUAACACGGUUAUAUUUC